GUGGACGCCCGGCAGGGGCGGAUCCCCGGACGAGGCACGUCGUACCCGGCACCGACGACGACGUGAC
Molecule: non-coding RNA, 67 nt
Filed under: Serinicoccus chungangensis
Lineage: Bacteria; Bacillati; Actinomycetota; Actinomycetes; Micrococcales; Ornithinimicrobiaceae
Source: RNAcentral